This 276-nucleotide long non-coding RNA is filed under the name Cyanistes caeruleus (blue tit). RNAcentral's name for it is "lncRNA (ENSCCEG00000008469.1)". The record is from RNAcentral. Lineage: Eukaryota; Metazoa; Chordata; Aves; Passeriformes; Paridae.
AUUUUAACAGGAUAAAGCCCCAAGUGCCCCCCAUUGAUGGAUGGAUCCUGGCACUUUUUAAUGCCAUGUGGAGAAUCCAGCGAGGAUGACAAGUCUGAGCAGCAGGAGGAAGACAUGCAAGUCAGAAAUGCAGUAAACAAUGAGCCAUCAACAGAGCAUUGGUUCAGGUUUGAAAGAGAACUGCAGAGUUCCAGUCAGAAAUAACAGAAGGAAGGAAAUAGAAGACUGUAGAAAGAGAAAGCAAGAAUAAAUUCAAAUAACAUAAUACUGAAAACA